This 24-nucleotide non-coding RNA is filed under the name Cricetulus griseus (Chinese hamster). The record is from RNAcentral. Lineage: Eukaryota; Metazoa; Chordata; Mammalia; Rodentia; Cricetidae.
GUUUCGGCUCAGAAUGGAUUACGC